Molecule: ribosomal RNA, 118 nt
Organism: Colobus angolensis palliatus
Lineage: Eukaryota; Metazoa; Chordata; Mammalia; Primates; Cercopithecidae
Source: Ensembl
GUCCACAGCUAUGCCACCCUGAACACACCUGAUCUCCUCUGGUCUUGGAAGCUAAGCAGGUUGGGUCUGGUUAGUACUUGGAUGGGAGAGUACCUGGGAAUACCAGGUGCUGUAGGCU